Long non-coding RNA from Malania oleifera, 678 nucleotides. RefSeq lists it as uncharacterized. The record is from RefSeq and is a predicted model, not a curated record. The transcript is spliced from 3 exons. NCBI's taxonomy places the organism in Eukaryota, Viridiplantae, Streptophyta, Magnoliopsida, Santalales, Ximeniaceae.
AUUUAUAUUACAGAAGAUAGGGAAGGAAACAAUCUCAACCCGAGGCUUCUUUAACUGUUCAUUCGAAUUGCUUGGGUGCAAUACAACUACCACCAGCUGCUCUGCUUCUUGGGGCCUGCACUGGUUGCAUCUUCUCAAUUCUCAUUUGCAUAGGAAAAUCACAGGUUCCAAAUCUGAUAAAAGAAGCCAUUGUCAGACUCUGUUUUCACAUUGAAGUCAGAAGGCAAACAGCUGGAACAAUUCAGGAUGUGCUCAAGCAGUCAGGCAUGCAAUAGAUUGAAUUGGCCAUGAACUGUGUGAUAAUAGCAAUAGUAUUUUAAGCCAAGGAGAAAACUUGGGUCUACCAUUUUGCCUGCUCCAUCAGUAUGAAGAGAAUAAAAUUAGUAAAACUAGAAAGGAAUUUACCAGGCACUCAACGCAUUUUGGUGGAUCAUGGUUGAAUAUCAUUCUGUCGCACAGCUGUUCCAUGCAAUCAAGGAAAAAAACUGAGCAAAAAUCAACUUGAAGAAAUAAAUAAUUAAAAAUAGUUGUUGGAGAGAAGUUGUUGAACUAAACUAUUGCAGUCUUAGCACAAUGUAUCACAAAUAUUGUACUUGAAAAACUCUGCAAGUUAUUGAGACUCUGCACAAUGAAUUGCGACAUCCAUGAAUCUAAACCUUCAAAAGAGCUCACUUAUAU